Molecule: ribosomal RNA, 123 nt
Filed under: Carlito syrichta (Philippine tarsier)
Lineage: Eukaryota; Metazoa; Chordata; Mammalia; Primates; Tarsiidae
Source: RNAcentral
GUCUACGGCCAUACCACCCUGAACACGCCCGAUCUCGUCUGAUCUCGGAAGCUAAGCAGGGUUGGGCCUGGUUAGUACUUGGAAGGACUCUUUUUUUUAAAGAGAGUUUUCUUACCAUGGAGU